GCUUGAGAAGAGAGGUGGCCUCCGCCUUGCAGAUGAGACUGGGGUUCGGAGCCUGGCAGGGGCAAGGCUGUCUUUGCCAACCCGGCAGGUCUCUCUCUGAUUCUGAGGAGCACGGCAGGGUCGGGGAUCAUCCAACCUCCAAGCAAGAGGAAAGGGAGAGGAAGGUGAAGGCAACAGACAGAGUUCUUGACCCCAGGGUCUGGGUCAGGGGGCACUCUCCAGAUAUUCCACAGUUUUAGGGGGCCAUUUAGCUGGGAUCCUGGACACUGGGAGCAAGAAAAAGAGAAAGAUGGUGAUUCCAAACUACAGGCUUCUGGAGGAAGAACACGUGCAGAGAAGAGCAGACAAGUAGUGUUUUUUAUGCAUAUUAACUGGCAGACGUGAUGCUGUGUGUUCAGCAAAUCCUGUUUCCCUUCUCCUCCGACAUGCAUCUAGACUACAUUUCCCAGCCUUCCCUGCAAGGAGAGUGUCACAUGACUGAGUCUGACCAAUGGAAUGUGGGAGAAGUCGUCUCUUACAGGCAAAUAUGUGGUCCGUUCAAAGGCCUAUCCCUUGUAAGAGUGGUUUCUCUGCACUGGAGGGAUCUCCCUCCUGUUUCCUUUUGAAGAUGGUGUUUGGCUGUGUGGAGAAGCUUUCAUGGGCCGGGAAAGGAGUCUCUUGCCCUACCUGCCAUCGCUGGACCUGCUCAGGAGUGGCGGAUCUGGCCUACCCUGGUCUCUGGGCACCGCAUCCACAUUCUCUGAGGCUGACUGGACUCUGCUUUGCCCUGAAAACUUCCAAUUCACAGCCAAUCUUCUUCCCAUAUGUUGUUUUUUUCUGUGGCUGCUCUAAUAAAGUCCCACAAACCCGGUGGU
Molecule: long non-coding RNA, 854 nt
Organism: Rhinopithecus roxellana (golden snub-nosed monkey)
Lineage: Eukaryota; Metazoa; Chordata; Mammalia; Primates; Cercopithecidae
Exons: 5
Source: RefSeq, a predicted model, not a curated record